AACGCGAAGAACCUUACCUGGGCUCGAAGCGCAGUGGACCGGGGUAGAAAUAUCCCUUCCCCUUAAAAGGCUGCUGCGGAGGUGCUGCAUGGCUGUCGUCAGCUCGUGCCGUGAGGUGUUGGGUUAAGUCCCGCAACGAGCGCAACCCUUACUCCUAGUUGCUACCCGCAAGGGAGAACUCUAGGAGGACUGCUCCGGAUAACGGAGAGGAAGGUGGGGAUGAGGUCAAGUCAGCAUGGCCUUUAUGUCCAGGGCUACACACGUGUUACAAUGCGCGCUACAAAGUGUCGCGAACCCGCGAGGGGGAGCUAAUCGCAAAAAAGCGCGCUCAGUUCGGAUUGCAGUCUGCAACUCGACUGCAUGAAGCCGGAAUCGCUAGUAAUGGCGCAUCAGAUCGGCGCCGUGAAUACGUUCCCGGGCCUUGUACACACCGAUAGC
This 438-nucleotide ribosomal RNA is filed under the name uncultured bacterium. Its description in RNAcentral is "bacterial SSU rRNA". It matches the Rfam family "Bacterial small subunit ribosomal RNA", at positions 958 to 1397 of the family's 1533-position model. The record is from RNAcentral.